This 449-nucleotide ribosomal RNA is filed under the name uncultured bacterium. RNAcentral describes it as "bacterial SSU rRNA". It matches the Rfam family "Bacterial small subunit ribosomal RNA", at positions 354 to 796 of the family's 1533-position model. The record is from RNAcentral.
GUGGGGAAUCUUGCGCAAUGGGCGAAAGCCUGACGCAGCGACGCCGCGUGAGUGAUGAAGGCCCUCGGGUUGUAAAGCUCUGUGGAGGGGGACGAAUAAGUCGUGGCUAAUAUCCACGAUGAUGACGGUACCUCUUUAGCAAGCACCGGCUAACUCUGUGCCAGCAGCCGCGGUAAGACAGAGGGUGCAAACGUUGUUCGGAAUUACUGGGCGUAAAGCGCGUGUAGGCUGCCCCGCAAGUCAGGUGUGAAAGCCCUGGGCUCAACCUGGGAAGUGCACUUGAAACUGCGGGGCUGGAGUUCUGGAGAGGAAAGCGGAAUUCUCGGUGUAGAGGUGAAAUUCGUAGAUAUCGAGAGGAACACCGGUGGCGAAGGCGGCUUUCUGGACAGUAACUGACGCUGAGACGCGAAAGCGUGGGGAGCAAACAGGAUUAGAAACCCUGGUAGUCC